CGAAAGCCUGACGGAGCAACGCCGCGUGAGGGAGGAAGGCCCUUGGGUUGUAAACCUCUUUUCUGGGGGAAGAAGUAAUGACGGUACCCCAGGAAUAAGCAUCGGCUAACUCCGUGCCAGCAGCCGCGGUAAUACGGAGGAUGCAAGCGUUAUCCGGAAUCAUUGGGCGUAAAGCGUCCGCAGGUGGCUAUUCAAGUCUGCUGUCAAAGCAUGGAGCUUAACUCCAUAGAGGCAGUGGAAACUGAAAGGCUAGAGGCCGGUAGGGGUAGUGGGAAUUCCCAGUGUAGCGGUGAAAUGCGUAGAGAUUGGGAAGAACAUCGGUGGCGAAAGCGCACUACUGGGCAGGACCUGACACUGAGGGACGAAAGCUAGGGGAGCAAAAGGGAUUAGAUACCCCUGUAGUCCUAGUCGUAAACGAUGGAGACUAGGCGUAGCUUGUAUCGACCCAAGCUGUGCCGAAGCUAACGCGUUAAGUCUCCCGCCUGGGGAGUACGCACGCAAGUGUGAAACUCAAAGGAAUUGACGGGGGCCCGCACAAGCGGUGGAGUAUGUGGUUUAAUUCGAUGCAACGCGAAGAACCUUACCAGGGCUUGACAUCUGGCGAAUUUGGGGGAAACCUCGGAGUGCCUUCGGGAGCGCCAAGACAGGUGGUGCAUGGCUGUCGUCAGCUCGUGUCGUGAGAUGUUGGGUUAAGUCCCGCAACGAGCGCAACCCUCGUUUUUAGUUGCCAUCAUUAAGUUGGGCACUCUAGAGAGACUGCCGGUGACAAACCGGAGGAAGGUGGGGAUGACGUCAAGUCAGCAUGCCCCUUACGUCCUGGGCUACACACGUACUACAAUGGUCGGGACAGAGGGCAGCAAACUCGCAAGAGCAAGCGAAUCUCAUCAAACUCGGCCUCAGUUCAGAUUGCAGGCUGCAACUAGCCCGCAUGAAGGAGGAAUCGCUAGUAAUCGCCGGUCAGCAUACGGCGGUGAAUUCGUUCCCGGGCCUUGUACACACCGCCCGUCACACCAUGGGAGCUGGCCACGCCCGAAGUCGUUACCCUAACCCGAAAGGGAGGGGGAUGCCGAAGGCAGGGCUAGUGACUGGGGUGAAGUCGUAACAAGGUAGCCGUACCGGAAGGUGUGGCUGGAUCACCUCCUUU
RNAcentral lists this ribosomal RNA (1144 nucleotides) under Gloeothece tepidariorum. RNAcentral's name for it is "16S ribosomal RNA". It matches the Rfam family "Bacterial small subunit ribosomal RNA", at positions 376 to 1533 of the family's 1533-position model. Lineage: Bacteria; Bacillati; Cyanobacteriota; Cyanophyceae; Chroococcales; Aphanothecaceae. The record is from RNAcentral.